UGUGUGUGUCCCCUGCUGCUGCUGAGAACAGACCACAGGGUCAGUAGGACUGUACCCUCAGGAGUUUUCUGUCCAAGAAAAUACAGGGGAGAGAGCGGCCUGGACUACGGGGAUGGUCCCAGCAAAGCCCUGGUGUGGGGCAGAGGCGGCCGCGUGUCUGGGCUGUCCUCUCUGAGGUCCCGCCCACUUCUCAUCGUCCCCCUCCACUCCAGUCGUGACUGAAUUCUUCCCGCUCCACUGCCUCAUCCCUUGGUGCCUUGGCCAGUGGGCCUAGAAUGCUCUUCCCCCACGUCCCCUGCCUGGCAAACUCCUAGUUUCCUCAGCCUCUGUGCAGCAUCACCUUCUCUGAGCCCCUCACCAGACUGUCUGGAGGGCCCCUCCUCCGCUUUCUCCAGGACCCUGACCUGACUGUAAUACUGUAGUAGAUAUUAACACAUGUUAUCUUCACCACUCUAUAUGGAAACACUAGUAUCUUCAUCCUACAGAUGAGGUCACUGCGGUGCAGAGAAGUUAAGCAGGUUGCCCAAGGUCACACAGCUACUUCCUGUAUGUCAAAACACUCUUGUAAUUGUUUACAAGUCUGACUCCCUUCCCAUCUAGGAGGGUCUCCAGGCUGGCCUUCCCCAUCUGGCUUCAUGAUGCCUUUCUGGGCCAGAGUCCAAGGGAUGUUUGUCCACCAAAGCGUGCACACUGGCCCAUGAAACAAGCAGCCAUCCCGGAACCCCCACAGGUCAGCCGCCACACCAGUCACAGGACGUCGCCUCUGCUUCCCGGGCUGCUACCCUCCCUUCCUAGAGAGACAGGGAGGUGACAGCAGGGUACAGACUCCGGCAGCAAGAAAACAAACAGCACCCAGCUCCCCACCUCCCACGUUUCUCGGAACUGGCUGCCCUUCCGGCUCUCAGGCAUGAAGGAGUUCUUCGAAGAGGGACCAGGGAGAGGCAAGAAAGAUGCAGACAACACAGAGCGACAGUGGAAACAUUGACCCGUCCUCAUAAGCCACGUACUUCAUAAAUCAUGCAUCUUUGCCCAGAUGUCAGCCACCUUCACCCAGCUGUCACCAUCCAUCCUCGGUGCCCUCCUGGGUGCCAAUCCCACACCUCGGGUCAAGGGAGACCCUCAGCCCACGUGGCUUUCAUCCUCAGAACAGGCCAGCUCCCCCUCUCCUCCUUAGGUCCCCAGGUCUGUUUCUCGCAAUGGCACCUGCCCAGCCGGUGACUUCACAGGAUCCUUGCCCGUGGGCACGUACCACAGAGCCAAGCUGAUUUGACUGUAUUCCUCUGUGGGCCGGAUGUCCCCCUGCUCUUGUCUUCCUCUAUAUUCCUUACAGAUGCAUCAACAGCUAGUGGGUGAAAAUGCUCCACCGGCCCCUCCAGCCUCUCUGCAAACAUGUGCAAGCACACAGAGCCACUCACAACUACAAACACACAUACGCACCAGAGACGCACCCACAGGCUGCGGAGUUCUGAUUUCUCCCACUGCUUCUGGUGGCUCUGUUCUUUGCAUAGAGCUCUGCAAGGCCAGAUUGGGAUGAGGACCGUUUGGAGAACAGUACUCCAUGAGUCACGGAUGGCUUUCCUGGAAGCCACUGCCUCCAUAGACUCUGGAAAUAACAAGGGGCUCUCAGUCACCAGCAUCAGCAAGGCCACUGCAGCCACAAUCAGUCAGAAUUAGGUUAAGCCAACAACAGUGGGUUAAACCAGUGUUUCUCAAACUUGAACAGGCAUACAAAUCACUGAGGAUCUAGUUAAACCGUAGAUAUUGAUCCAGUAGGUCGGGGUGGCACACAAGAUCGUACAUCUCUAACAAGCUCCCAGGAGAUGCCAGUGCUGCUGGUCCUUGGGACGCACUUCGAAGAGCAGGAGCUUAAACAAGAUCGUUUAUUUCUCCCUCAUGUUCUUGAAGUCCAGAAGGAGUCAGUCCAGGGCUGGGAUGGCACUCCACGGUCUCAGAGACCCACUUUCCUUCUAUCUCGUUGCUCUACCAUGUGUGAUUUCCAUUUUCAAGGUGAUUCUCAUGAUGCAAGAUGGCUGGUGGAGCUCCAGCCAUUGCACUGCACUUUCUCAGAAAGCAAGAACUGAUAGAAGAAGUGCUUGCCCCUUGCCUGUAGGAAUACAUCGGAAUUUGCACACUUCCAUGCAUAUGCCUCUAGCCACAGUGAAGCCACAUGGCCUCACCUUUGUCCAUCUGCAAAGGAGCUGGGAAGUAGUCUUUUUUUGGGGCUAUCAUGUGCCCAACUGAAAACUGGAAGUUCAAUUGCUGAGGAAGUAGAUAAAGCACAUUGGGAGGCAGUCAGUAAUCUCCAACACACAGCAGGCUGAGAUGGAAAUGUGAGCAUUUCUGAACCUUUGCCGGCAGUGCCAGUUUUUUGUCUUCCGGGACCAACCAUGAGAGUGAGCCUGGGCCCCCACUGCUGCCCGCCGUCUCUCAGUCCACUUUAAGGCGAGUCUGGUAAUAUGACCAGCCGCACAUGCUGAGCUCGGAGGCUGCGUGAGUCGUGGCGAAGCCUGAGGCCCUGCGGGCAGACAGCCCAGGUUCACAUUGGUUCUACUGGUUAUUGGCUAUAUGACCUCGGACAAGUGACUUAAACUCUUUGUGCCUCUGUGUCCCAUCUGUGAAUGGGGACAACGCUGGUGUCUCUCUCCACGUGUUGGUGUGGGCACGAAAGGAGCAGAGGCCGCCGAUGAGCACCCAACAGACACCAGCCCUGGUGAGGAAACGAGGCCGCCCCAGUGCUCUUCACCCGCCCGCCGUGCACCACACCCUGUGUGCUCUGUGUGCGAGGAAGCGCCAGGAGGAGGCGGAGACCCAAGGCCGUCCUGGAGGAGCUGACAAUUUAUAGCUGUGUCUGACUCUGAAUGAAUGACCUUGGGGCUACACAGUGGAAGACCAGCCAUUUAUUUGGAGAGACUCUCAGUUUGCUAAGAAAAUUUCAGGAUGAUUUUCUUCCGGACUUUCUUCAAAUGAAUUUUUUGCAGAAGAAAUGAACCAAAACUCUACUGUGAUAGCUUCGUAUCGCCUUGGCGAGGUGGAACUCCAUUCUCCCGAAUUCCUUUUCUGGCCUGUUUCUGAUUAGGACUAUACAAGGCAGGUUCUCAGGAGCGAGUGGGCAGGAGGAAGGGAGGCAGCGGGCAUUCUGUAGCACGCGCUUGGUCAACACACAGAGCACUCCUCUGCCGACCCAUGUGAAGCAGCACAGGCACAGAAGUCGGUGUUAGAUGAAGAGCCCGGGGCCCGGCGGGAUUCCCUGUCACCAAGGUCGGAGGCAACGGGAGCAGACACGGGUUUCCAUCCAUCCUUACAGAGUUCCAGCACCUGCUUUUGGAGUCCCAGCCUGCUCACCAGCCUCCCUUUUCGGACUGCUACCCUGGGGACUUCAAGCUCCAACAUCAGACGUGGAGGCAUCCAGCCAGCCCUCCAACUGGCCAAUCCCCUGUAAUAACGAACUGUUUAUUUCUCUAGUUUUCUAUCUAAAAUCUUGCCCUCUCCCACUGGUUCUGCUUCAGGGGCUCAGUGGAGACCCCUGACUCGUAUGUGUACUGUCAGAAAGGCAGGGGAACUGACCUGCCAUCCAAUCCCCUAUUCACAGCUGGGAGAACGGCGGUCCAGAGAGGCAUGCUGCUUUACUCAAGGUCACGCUGACAGCCAGUGACCAAGAAGCCACCAGAACCCGCACCCCCAGUUCCUGCGCCAGCGCUCCUUGUGCAGCCGUCUCCAUCAAUGCUCACACAUUCCCACCACAGAGGCUUUCUGAGACCCUCCUGCUGUCCGCUGCCAGGCCAGGUGUGGGGAUUUCGGGCCACAUCACAUGAGGGUCCUGCACUCGAUCUGCCCACAGUCUAGUGAGGAGACAGGUAGGUCUGUAGAUAGCGCUGACAUGCGGUCGCAAGUGCCCAGGUCAGGGGACAGCGAGCAUGGAAGCCUGUGGGCCCCAGAAGCCAGCCCCUCAUGAAACAUCAGAGGGAGGGGAUGGGUGGGGCAGCCACGAGAUACCCAACGCCGAUCUGCUCUGAGGAAACUCUCGAAGAGCUCUUCUUGCACACGGCCCUGGAAUGAAUCUGUGGACCGAGAACGUCCUGCAGUGCCAGCCCUGAACAGUCUGGAGGGGGGGGGGGAGGGGGAGGAUGCUCCCCUCCGUGCCCACUGGCCUCCCUGCUGCCCUCUGCUCAGCGAUGGCCGGAGGGGCAGGCAGGGCCGGGGCUUGGCGAGUGUCUGGAUCGCCAGUGACCAGCACAAUGACGACACAUAGUCAGCCUCUAGAAGGGCUCGUUGACCAAAGUGUGUUGCCGAUGCCUCACAGAGCAGUGUCCAGGGCUGUGCGAACCCCUCCCAGGGGCAAGGCCUCAGGCAGAGUGGAGAGGGCGGGGCCCCUUCAGAGCCGCUCCCGGCUCCUCCCUUCUCAUCAGUUCAUUGCAGAGGAGACAGAUCCUCAUCACCAGAGGGGACACGCGGAAGCCAUACAGGACACCACCCCUGAAGUGUUACAAACACCCUGCCUGGCCUUCCUAAGUCCUGCAGCCCUGGCCUGGGGACUCCCAGAAACACAAAGACCAGGGAGCGGCUGUGCUCACCAGCCCAGGGCUCACGCCGACGUGCUCUGGAGAACAAACUGCGCUGGUUUGGUGACCGAGGUGGGGAAGGAACCUGGCAGGGUGGGUGGCAGCGGGGAGGAACAGGACUGAAGCCACUUGUCCCUGUUUGCUCAUGGAUGAGCCAGAAACCCUCUGAACUUACUGGAAGGCUCCUGGGACCUUGUUUUCCUGAAACGGUACAAAAACAGGUUGGACCUCUCCAAUGUUUACUUGAGGACGUAAUUACUUAAGUACGAGCUGGGUUGCCUGGCAGGCUGGCAGAGGUAAAGGUGGGGCAGAGGCAUCUGCUGCUCACCUGGGCCUGAGAAGUCCUAGGAGGUGCGCGGCCCAACCCAGGACAGAGCAACCCGGAAGAGACUGAGUUGCGGCUGGAAGAGUCCUGGCGGCGGAGUAGGACAGAGUUGGUAGGAAUGCUGUGUGGCUCUGAGCAACUUACUUAACCUCUCUGAACUGCUGUCUUCAUCUGCUAAGUGGAAAUAGCAAUACUUCCCUUGCUAGGUGGUUGGAGGAUUGGCAGUGGUUGCCUGGCAGCCAGCAUUCAGGCAGAGGCUGUUGUUAGUAACAAAGUCCUCAUCUGGUGUUCUGGAGGCCCAGCCACCACCCUCAGUCUCCUUCACAAAUCGAUUCUAUCCCAGCAUGUACUCUCACUGCCGUGCGGCGGUUCCCCCCAGCCUCGCUGCUCCCAGACCUGAACAGCACUGCUUCAAGGCAUCAGGCGAUGUGGGUUGGCUGACACGAAAUGGCCACUGAGGCUGUGGAAACACUCGUAGGUGCUGGGAAAGGGUUCUCCCAGUUCAGCUCUGCCUUGUCAUGACUCAGCUUCCCUCUGCUCUUGUCUUCCUAAGCUCCCAAGGAGCCGCGUUUCUGCCCUGUGCCCUGAGGGCGUCUGGCUGCCUCUUUCAUCGGUCUCUCAUGACCGUCAAGGCUUUGCCGCUUGGCCCCAGUGCUGUGGCUUGGAAAGAAAUACAGACCUUGGUGCACUGAAAUUCCUGGUGAGGCUCAGGGCCACGCAGACGGCCCUGAGCAUGUUCAAAUGUGUUUUUAGGUUAACAUCAAAAUGACAGCACCCCAUUUUUAAAUUUUCAAGAAGAUGCUGCUCCCAGUCUGAGAAAGUCUGGACGGGGGUCACCAGGACCUGGCGCAGUCCCCCCAGCCUCUUCCUCACGUGUGACGCCUCUUGUUGCUGACCCUCCGGGCUCACAGGAGGAGCGGUGGGUGUGGACCCAGAGCCCUCAGCGGUGGCUGGAGGUGGACCGCACACAGCGGCUGGAAGCUUUCCUCCUCCCUGUCUCCAAGCCCUUCACAAUGACAUUGCAGCUCCCUCCUCAAGGGGCGGGGCGCCUGUUCCCUGCCCUUGAUCCAGGUGCGCCUGAGGCUUGCUCUGACCAGAGAACGCAGUGGACGUGAGGGUGCCGGGUCUGAGCCAGGCCCCUGAGGCUGGUGGGCUUUCCCUCUCUCAUUCGCCCCUCAAUUCCUCCCUUUAAACCCAGAGUCCUUGGUUUUGGGAAGGUGGCUCAGGUCCAGAGCUCCUCCCACGAGGGGAAAGCACCCUGGCACCGUGUCGAGUGGAGAGAAGGUACAGAGCGGGGAGAGACACAGGAAGUCUGCAGGCCUCCUGUCCCCAGGGGGGAAAGGAUGCAGAGGCUGACCGUGCCUGCCUCCUCGUUGAAGAAACUCCAGCAAGCUGGGAGACUGAAAUUACCUGCUGGCCUCAGCGAAGCCCCAGGACAAGGACAGCGUGCCUUGUCCCCUGCAUGAUGGCCGGGCAGGGAAGGCUCCUCUGGUAGCAGCUGCUGUCAAACUGUGUCAUUCUGCAGAAGGGACACUCCAAGCUCAUAGAUGCUAUGCCACGUCCUCAAGCCAAGAGGAAGCAAAGGGCGGGCUGGGGCCAGCUCCCGACCAGACGUUCUCAGCCUCUAUCAGGACAUGUGCGGCCCUGCCUCCCACUGCUCCCUACAAAAUCCAGAUCCGCUCACAUCUGAGAUUCUCUCCUAAGGGUGGAGCUCCGUGAGAGCUGCAGUCAAGUCUGCUUCACUUCUCCAUGUUCCUGGUGUCCAGCACUCCGUCUGGCCAGAGGAGGAGCCGGGGGGGGCUCUGAGGGAGCUUUCCCGACUCCCUCCCACCGAGUGCAGGCUCAAAGUCUUCUGUCGCAGCAUGUGUACCUCUCUCAGGCAGUACUUUAAGCAUGUGUAUAAGUGAGUAUUCAUAUACAUAUGUGAAUAUUCCUAUGUAUGUGUGUGUGUGUGCGCACGCCCAUCUUUGUCUACUGGAUUGUGAGUUCCUUCAUGACAUGGGCUGUGAGAUAGAUGCUAGAGAGAUAGAUAGAUAGAUAGAUAGAUAGAUAGACAGAUAGACAGACAGUGGGUAGGUAGAUGGAUAGGUGAGUGGGAGGAUAGACGGAUGUAUAGGUAGACAGACCCAACCCUCCAUCCCCUCUGACUGGGAGGGUGAUUUAUUCGUAACGGUCUCAGCUACUGUGGGAGGCAGGCAGGCAGGCAGAAUCCAGGACAAUCCUUGUCCCGAGGAGAACAGAGGAGCUGGGGGAAGACACUACGCAGCGAAGGCUCAGGGCUUGAAACUAGAGGGCCCAAUGUGUUCUUUGCCAUUCAGUUUCUCUGAGCUUACGUUGUCCUCUCUGUAAAAAGCAAAUGAUAACAGCAGGGUCUGCCUCUCGGGGAUAAAUGGAGCAUCAGCAUAAAAGAAUAUGCUUCAGAGGAACACAGAGUGGACAGGCCCCGGGCCUUGAAUCAGGCAGAGACGCUCAGGUACCACUGGAUGCGGAGGAAACUGCUUGACCCCCCCUAAGCCUCAGCUGCAAACUUGGGAGAGGAAGUUGCCCCUUGUCGGGGGUCUGUGACUGUGAAACAAGGCUCCGUAUGUGGAAGCAGGCGCUCAGCAGCGAUGGCCACCAAUGCUGCUGCUGUCAGUAACCUACUUCAGAAGGCCUGGCCCCGACCACUCGCAGUUUGCAAGGUCAGAGAGAUGCUGUGGAAACACCAGAGCGUGCAGGGCGCAGAGAAGGCGUAUGGUGACAAAGGCUCCCACAGGAGAAUGCGGGGCUCAGGGAGGACCGGAGUCAAGGAGAGCCCCUUAGAGGAGGUGGAGAGGCCGUGGGAGGAGAACCCUCCUCCCCAGACUCCCGAUAAAGGAGAGGUGUGGGAGGAGAGGUGUUGGCAAGGCGAGAAGAAGAGAGAUGUUUUAAAAACAAAAAAAAUGACAGUUCUUGGGGAAUUGCCAAUAUUUACUAACCUGUGGGCAUCUUCCCCCAGGAAGGGGCUGGGGGCCGGGCUGCUGGAGACAGCUGCUCACACAAACAGCGGAGGGACCUGGCUUCAGCUGUGCGUGUAGACCUGGACUGGGAACCGGAUCCACAUGAUGGUGGGAAAAAACAGUCUGGGGGCUCCGCUGCCCUGGGCAGCUCAAAGCUGGCACAGAGAGCCGGGAGGCCCGGGGUCCCGGGUUCUCCCGUCUAGUUGGGCCUCUGGUUCCUGCCGGCCUGAGAUAAUUGGCUUCUCUCUGCCCACCUGUCCAGGUUGGGAGCGCCCAGCUCCACCUCCUGUCCUUGUGUUGGGAGCGACUGUCCUGUCUGCUCGGCCCUCUCAGAGAAACUGGCCACCCUCAGUCCCUCUACCAAAGCCUCCAGGGCUUGAGGAGAGGCUGGUCCUCCUCACCCACAUUCCCUGGCCCGUGGGCCAGAGUUGAAGGGACCAGGGAGGGCCUGACCCAGGCAGCUGGUCCAAAGGUGGCCGGUACCCAACAGUGGCCAAUUAGAUGCUCUUUUCCAUGGAUCUGAACUUGGAAAGAAUUUUCAAGGUCUCAGAGGACAUGAAAGGAGUGGCUGCCUGUGCAGCAAAGGGCUGAGUGCGGGGGCAGGGGGGCUUGCAGAGGCUUUCUAUGGUAGAAAAGAGAGUGGAAGACGAAGAGGUGCUGAAGGAGGCAGGAAGGAAGGCGAGGAGGAGAAAGAGAGAGACCAACCACCCUAAAAUCCCCCCAGAGGGUCCCAGUAUCAGUCCCCACAAAUGCUUCCACUAAAUCCUAUGCUUCUUUUAUUUAUGGACUUUAUUUUUUUUCAUUUUUUUGGUGAGGAAGAUUGUCCCUGAGUUAACAUCUGUUGCCAAUCUUCCUCUUUUUUUUUUCCUCCCCAAAGCCCCAGUGCAUAAUUGUAUAUCCUAGUUGCAAGUCAUUCUAGCUUUUCUGUUUGGGAUGCCACCACAGCAUGGCUUGAUGAGUGGCAUGUAGGUCCAUGCCCAGGAUCCGAACUGGCAAACCCUGGGCUGUCAAAGCAAAGCAUGUAACCUUAACCACUUGGCCAUGGGGCCGGCCCCUGGACUUUAUUUUUUUAGCCUUUUGUAUUUUGAAAUAUAUAGAGAAAUACACAUAAAAAAAUAACCAUAGAGCUUAACAAACUAUCAGUGAGCUAAAGUAUAGGCCAGUUCGAGAAUCGGGAUUACAGCUCUUCUAAAGCUCUUUCUCUCUCCACCUCCUUCCCCCCAAAGUUGGCCAGAAUCAGGACUCAUGGCUUUUCUUCAUAAUCUUAUACAGCCAGCUAAGCAUGUGACCUUAAAGACUAUGGUUUAAUUUUGCCAGCUUUUAAACUUGACGUAAAUGGAACAUACCUACGUGUUCUUUUGAGUUCAGCUUCUCCCAUUUAAUGUAACAGUUUUUGAGAUUGAAUCACAUGUUGCCUGUAGUUUAGAUCACCGGUUCUCAGUGCUGUAGAUUACUGCAUGGUACACCACACUGCUAUGGUCGCAUCCAUUCUGCUAUGGGCAGACACAAAUAACUCUCCCCGGCCUGCCACCUGUGUCCUUUAGGUGUCCUGAGAAGACCUCUGAUUUUUACCACCAAUAAGCAACUUGAACAUGGGGAAACAGCACUCGACUUGAAAAUGGGGAAAUCCAGAGAAAUCUGAGUCCUUAUUAGGGACUGGAUCCUGGACCUCUCAGAGAACAGAGGUUCAGAUUCAUUUCACUUUCUGGGCCAAGAAAUCAACACAGAUUUUUUUGAGCAUACAGCGUCUGAAAGGAAAGGAGGGCAGGCCCCGAUGCGCAGGAGGCCACGGAAUACGGUGCCUCCGGCUCUGGGAGCGGAGAGGACUGCCAGGAGGAAGCAGUCUUUGGGAUGGUCUGAGAAGGAGAAUUCGUUCAGAGUAAACUGGAAAUUAUUUGAUUCAGUCUUUUGUACAGAAACCCUCCCAACGUCUGAGUCUCCUGGCUUCCUUGUCUCCCUAAGCCAGGUGGGCAUGGGGACCUCCUCCAUCCCCGUCCAAAGUAGCACCUGGCUCACACCUGUGUGGACGUUGAAACACACUGUCUGAACCUGGAGAGCAAUGGGGACCAGUAGGAGGGGAUUGCACAGGACAGGAGCUUGUCACAGAGCAGCCUCAGGAUGGAAGGAGAUGUACGAAACAAACAAGUGACCCAACUUCCCAUAACAGCAGGAGUUCUUGUGCAUGGGCACCUGGGCAUCGGGCUUCCAGUGACGGGAACCAGAGCGUGGUCCAGGCAGAAUAACGACCCACCUAAACAGUCCACGUCCUGAUCCCCGGAACCUAUCUGUUGGAUCACUCACUCUGGGGGAAGCCGUGUCAUGAGCAGCCCCAUGGAGAGGUCUUUGCGGCAAGGAACUGCUGGCUGGUGCCGACAACCACAUGAGUCAGCUCGGAAGUCAAUUCUCCAGCUCCCGCUGAGCCUUGAGAUGACCAUGACUCUGUCCCACAGCUGGACACAACCUGAGAGAUGCCGAGCCAGAACGCCCAGCUAAGCUGCUCCUGAAUUCCUAACCCUCAGAAACUGUGAGAUAACAUUGUGUUGUUUGAAACCAUUAAGUUUUGGAGUAAUUUGUUAUGCAGCAAAAGUAAGAAAUAUCGGAAAUCCUUUUCCUUCACAGUUUUGAAAGCUUUGCUCUAUGGCUAAAGCUCUAGCUCUCCAGCGUUUCUGUUGAGAAAUCCAAAACAAUUCUGAGCCCGAUUCUUUGAACAUGACCCAUUUCCCCUGGAAGUUGUGGCACGUUCUCUUCAGCCCAUCUGUUCUGAGACUGGACAGUCAUUCGUCAUGUUGCGUCUCCAUGUUCCAUUGUGCUGGGCCCCUGGUGGGCUGCUUCAGUGUAGAAAUUCAUUUCUUUCACUUCUGGGACUUUUCUUGAAUUAUUUCAUUGACAAUUUACUCCUCUUCAUUUUCUCUAUUCUCCAUUCCUAGAAUUCUUUUUGUUCAUAUUUUGGAUCCGCUGGACCAGUCCUUAUUUUCUUACUCACUGCCCUCUUUUCCUCUAUUUUCCAUUUCUGUGUUUUUUGUCUUGCUUUCUGGGUCAUUUCUUUAUCCUCCAAUCUUUUAGUAAAGCUUUUUAUUUUCGUUUUUAUUCUGUGUUCUCUUCUUUUGUUGUUUUUACGGAGUGUUCCCUUUUUAUAGCAUCUUGUUCUUAUGUCAAGGAUGCAGUAUCUUCUAUUAUCACUCUAGAAAUAUCAAUACUAGAGUUUUAGGGGAACUUUUUGGUUUGUUUCUUCAAAAGUCUUCUUCCUCUGCAUAGUCACUGUCUUUUCAAGUUGUUUUCUCUUGUUUAUUUUCUUUGAUCUCUCUCCUUCAUGUGGAUGUCUGGCAACCUUGGUUCCUCUGUUGAUAUUUAAGAGUGGAGCACUAAAGAAUUGACUGGAAGCUCUUAGGCUUUAGGGGGUUGAAUUUGUUCCCCUGAGCCUCACCUUGGGUGAUGUGGAUGGACCACUGUGGAUGGACUGUUGGCCCUUGUUCUGGCUGUCCAUCACUGUGUCCAAAGCUUUGUGGCUUCAAACUACAGCACUGGAAUUGCUCACCAGUGUGCCAUCAGGACAGUGCUCAGUGGGGACAGCUCGUUUCUGCCCCAUUCAGCAACAACUGACAUAGCUUGAAGGCUGGGGGAUGAAGGCUUGCUCACUUGUCUGGCAUCUGGGCUGGGGAGACCCAAACAGGUGGAGCUCACACAGCUGGGCCUCCUUGGGCUUUUCUCCAUCUCUGUGUGCUCUCUCCAGCAUGGUGGCUCCAGGGUAGGUACAUUCCCUACAUGUUGGCUCAGGGCUCCCAAAACACUUGCCCAAGAGAAACAGCGAGCCAGGGCAGAAGACGUAUCACUUUUUAUGACCCAGCAUUGGAGGUCAUAUCAUUUCUUUCCCUAAAGCAGUCACAAAGGCCCACCCAGGCUUAAGGGAGGGAGAAUAGACCCCACCUCCUGAUAGGAGAAGUGUCAAAAUUCUGGAAGAGCAUAUGAGACCGGAGAUAUUGUUAUAGCCAUUUUUGAUACAAAGUAUCAUAAUACUUAAGUACACUGUGUGCUAGAAAAUUCGUUGUAUUAGUUCCCUAUUGCUGCCAUAACAAAUAAUCACAAGUUUAGUUCUUUUUUUUUUUUAAACUCUGACUUUAUUUUUAUUUAUUCUUUUUUUUAAGAUUUUUAUUUUUUCCUUUUUCUCCCCAAAGCCCCCCGGUACAUAGUUGUAUAUUCUUCGUUGUGGGUCCUUCUAGUUGUGGCAUGUGGGACGCUGCCUCAACGUGGUUUGAUGAGCAGUGCCAUGUCCGCGCCCAGGAUUCGAACCAACAAAACACUGGGCCACCUGCAGCGGAGCGCGUGAACUUAACCACUUAGCCACGGGGCCAACCCCUCUUUUUUUAUUUUUUAAAGAUUUUAUUUUUUCCUUUUUCUCCCCAAAGCCCCCCGGUACAUAGUUGUAUAUUCUUCGUUGUGGGUCCUUCUAGUUGUGGCAUGUGGGACGCUGCCUCAGCGUGGUUUGAUGAGCAGUGCCAUGUCUGUGCCCAGGAUUCAAACCAACGAAACACUGGGCCGCCUGCAGCGGGGUGCACGAACUUAACCACUCAGCCAUGGGGCCAGCCCCUAGUUCUUUAAAAACCACAAAUUUAUUGUUGUACAGUUCUGGACUUCAGAACUCCAAAAUGGAUCAGAAGUCCAGUGGGCCAAAUCAAGGGCUUGGCGGAGCCACACUCCCUCUCGAGGCUGCAGGGGAGAAUCCAUUUCCUUGUCUUUUCCUGCUUCUAGAAGCCGCCUACCUUCCUUGGCUUGUGGCCCCUUCCUCCAUCUUCACAGCACAUCACUCCAACCUUUUCUUCCAUUGUCACCUGCAAAGUCCAUUUUGCCCUGUAAGGUCCCAUACUCACAGAUUCUGUGGACUAGGAUGUGGACAUCUUUGGGGGGACAUUAUUCUGUAUACCAUAAUCAUGCACGUGGAGCCACUCAUUGCCUAGUGAUUUUGCAGUUAAUCAAUUAGUGAUUCGUGCGUAUCUUUCACACCUGGCAGAGUGCUCCAGUGGACACAAGCACCCUUCAUCCUUAUUCCUGGAGUGCCUUAUACCCUCCAGCUGGAAGCUUCCUUUGCAAGGCACAACCCAACCCUGGGUUUGCAGAAGCUCCUGACUGGCAUCAGCUCUAAACACCUUCCUCCUCAUACAUCAGACGGCUCGCUGAUCCCAGAAUUCUGAGCAAAUACAGUUCCACGUUCUCUUGCGAGCCUUCCCCAAUGCAGAGAAGCUAUCUGACACCAUGGAAAGAGCUCAGUUCAUACGUCUGGUGAAUACUUGGGCAACACUCUGACUCUCUCUAGACUUCAUUCCCCUUGGCUUUAACCUGGGAGGUGACACAGAUGAGAGGAGACACGUGAUCAGAGCCAAGUCCCACCUGUGUUUAAACUCAACUCGGUAGAUAAGCUCCUGAUGGACAGGUCAGAGAGGUGACAGUACAAGGGAGGCAGACGGAGUGCAGCAGGACAGGAGAGAGCCUUUCAGGAGCACGCUGCCUAGUAUCCACCCGCCGGGCUUCAGGCGGGCUGGGCCGCUCCCACGGUGCAGCCCCACCUGGACUCUGAAGUCCUGACCUCCCAUGCUCACCUCGCCACCUCCCACUCUUCCAGCCCUCCGCCACCUACUAAGUCUGCUCCUCCAGCUUGUCAAGGACGCUCAUUUCAUCUUUCUUUUCUAUAAUGAGAAAUUUCAAAACUACAGAACAGUGUAGAGAGCAAAAUAGCACACAUCCAUUUACCACCUGCUCGGUAGUGAUAAUUUUAACGAAGUUUGCUUCCAAUUUUUUUUUAAAGGCAUGAAAGCCUACAGGUAUAAUUGAAGUCCCAUGUGUUUGCCUUCUCAGUUCCUUUUCCCUUCCUAAGCUUAAUUAACUCUUUCCCUGCUAGAGGAAAGCACCAUCUCGACUUUGCUGUGUCCACGGUUUUAUUCUUCCCACACAUGUGUUCACCCAUAAAUAAUAGAUAACACCAUUCUACGUGUUUCAAAGAUUACAGACAUGAUCCAAAGCUACGUACAAACUCAAUGCAAUCCCUAUUAAAAUUCUAAGAGCAUUCUCCACAGAAAUGGAAAAGCUGAUCCUCAGAUGCAUAUGGCAUUGCAAGGGACCUCCAAUAGUCAAAACAAUCCUGAAAAAGAAGAAUUAGGUUGAGGACCCCACACUUUCUGAUUUCAAAACUUACUACAAAACUACAGUAAUUAAAACAUACUGGCCUAAGGAUGAUCAUAUAGACCAAUGGAAUAUAAUAGAGAGCCCAGAAAUAAACCCUCCCAUGUAUGGUCAGUUGAUUUUUGAUAAGGGUGCCAAGAUCGUUCAGUGGAGAAAGGACAGUCUUUCUAACAAAUGAUGCUGGGAAAACUGGAUAUCCCCAUGCCGAAGAAGUUGGACCUCUUACCUAACACUAUACACAAAAAGUAACUCAAUAUGGAUCAAAGACACAAACUUAAGAGCUAAAACUUUAAAAUUCUUCUAAGAAAACAUAGGGGAAAAUCUUCUUGACAUUGAAUUUUGCAACAAUGUCAUGGAUUUGACACCAAAAGUGCAGGUAACGAAAGGAAAAAUAAACUCAACUCCAUUGAAAUUUAGUCGAAGUUUUUAAAUUUGCUGGCAUAAAGUUUUUUGAUAAUAAUCUCUUUUUAUCUUCUUACAUCUGCAGGAUCUUUUUUGUUGCUCAUAUUGGUGACUUAUUUUGUUUUUCUUUUAUCUGGGAGUUUAUCAAUUUCAUCAUUUUUUUAAUAACCAAACUUUUUGCUUUGUUGAUCUUCUCUGUUGUAUAUCUGCUUUGUAUUUCAUUGAUUUGGAUUCCUAUUUUUAUUAUUUCCUUCUUUCUUUUUUCCUUGGGUUUAAGUUGCUGUUCAAAUUUAGAUAACUGUCUUUAAACUAUUUUCUCGUGUAACGUAUGCAUUUAAAGGUAUAAAUUUCUUUCUAAUCACUGCUUUGCCUAUUUGCCUCAGGCAUUUGUAUGCAGUAUUUUGAUUUUCAUUCUGUUCAAAGUAUUUUCUAUUCUCCUGUGUGGUUUCUUCCUUGAGCCACGGGUUAUUUACAAGUGUUCUGUUUCACAUCCAAACGUUUGGGGUUUCUAAGAAUCUUUCUCUUGUUCAUUUCUAGUUUAAUUCCACUUUGGUCAGAGAUCACACCCGGCAUGAUUUCACCUUUGGAAGUUUGUUAAGACUUGCUUUAUGGCCCAGCACAUGUUCUAUUUUGGUAACUAUGCCCUCGAAAAGGAAGUGUGUUCGCCCCUUGCGGGGUGCAGCCCUCUGUAACUGUUUAUUAAGUCAAGUUGAUUCAUUCUGCUGUUCAUAUUUUCUAUAUACUUUUACAUCUUUCAUCUCCUUUUUCUAUCAGUUGCUGAGAGAUUUGUUAAAAAUCUCCAGCUAUGACUACAGACUUGCCUAUUUGUCUCUUUUAUUCUGGAAAUACUCUAUUUCGUGUAUUGUGUAGCUCUGUUAUUAGGUGCAUACACAUUUACGAUUGUUACAUCUUCCGUUGAAUUAACCCUUUCAUCAUUAUGAAACGUCGCUCUUUACUUCCCUUACUACCACUUCUGGCUCUAAGGUCUAUUUUGUUUGAUAUCAAUAGAGCCACACCUUUUAUUUGGUGAGUAUUUGCAUGAUAUAACUUUUAUCAUCUUUUUAUUUUUUACCUUUCUAUGUCCUAUAUUUAAAGCGUAUUUUCUAAAUACCUAAUAGCUUUAGAACCAAACUGUUCAGGGCGGGUAGAGAAAGAAAGGGAAUGGAAAUAGAAGCAUGAAUUGCCCUUAUUUUUGAAGAAAAUUUAUGCUGGCUACACAACUUUUCUUUCUGCAAAGAUGCCAUCCCAUCGUCUUCUGGUUUCAUAGUUACAGUUGACAAAUCAGCCACAACUCAUCGUUGCUACUUUGAAUGUCACGUGUUUUAUCUUUCCGGCUGCUUGUCUUAUUUUCAGUUUGACGAUGAUGUGCCUAUGUGUGAUUUUCUUUGUAUUUCUUUUCCUUGGGAUUGACUGAGCUUUGCGAAUCCGUGAGUUGAUGUCUUUAUCUGAUUUUGAAAAUUCUUGUCCUUUAGCUCUUCAGAUUUCACUUGCCAUAUUCUCUUUCCCUCCUCUGUUUCUGGGAAUCCAGUGAUAUGUAUGUUAGACCUCUGACUGUGUUCCAUUAUCUGUCUUAUACUCUGAUCUGUUAUUUUAAUUGUUUUCUCUCUCUGUGCUUCAGUUUGAGUAUUUUCUAUAUACCUGUCUUUCAGCUCACUAAUCCUAUCAUCUCCUGUGUUUAGGUUGCCAUUAAAUCCACUCAAUGAAUUCUUAAUCUCAGAUACCAAAUUUUUUCAGUUCUUGAAUGUCUAUUUGAAUAUUUAUAAAUUCCAAUUCUCUGUAGAAAUUCUCCAUCUUUUCAUUCAUUUUGUCCAUCUUUUUCUACAUAUUCUUUUUGUAUUCUAUUAUACUAGUUAUUUUUAAAUCCUUGUCUGAUAACUCCAAUAGCUAAGUUAUCUGUGUUGUGAUGGUAGGUUGAACACCUCCAGCCAAAAUUUGGUUCAAACGUCAAGAUUGAUGACAUCACACACCAAGAGAAGAUGAAAAGAUUUAUUAUUUACAUAUGAAGAUUUCUGGGGAGAGCCUGGAAACUUCCCAAGGAGGUCUAAAAAUGGGUUAAGAGAGCAGAGAAAGGAGACUGGCUUUGGGGUCAUUAGAGGGCAGUGUUAAAAUUAAUAAAGGAAAUCUCAAAUAAAAUUGGAGUCAGGAAGGCCUGUAGAGGGAGCUCUCAUGUCCUACCACUCAAUUACCCCAAACAGGAAGAUGUCAAUUACAGACCCCAACAGGAAGAAGCAUCAGUUACCAACCUCAAGAGGAAGAGAUGUGCCUUACAAUCCCAAACAGGAAGUGCAACUACUUUACUACUCCAGUAAGGGGAAGACUUCCUUCUUGCCCAGCAAUAAGCACAACCAAUGGAAAACACUGCAGCCCAGUCAAUGAGAAUCUGUUGUCACUUGAACUAUCUCUCUAUUGCCAGAUGAAAUGCUACCUGAUUCAUGAAUUAUUUAAUAAAGUCAAUUCAAUCUUCGAAUUUGCUCAGUUGAAUUUUGUUUUUUAACAGUGGGGCUGGGGGUAAGAGUUCCCAUGUGUAGACCAGGGCUUGCAAGAUUUGACCUUCCUGCUAAUGCUAAUGAAGGGAGUACCUGGGCUUAUUUAUGAGCUGGACAGAUCUAAGACAGAAG
This 17053-nucleotide long non-coding RNA is filed under the name Equus caballus (horse). RNAcentral's name for it is "lncRNA (ENSECAG00000056135.1)". The record is from RNAcentral. Lineage: Eukaryota; Metazoa; Chordata; Mammalia; Perissodactyla; Equidae.